Molecule: long non-coding RNA, 562 nt
Organism: Lutra lutra (Eurasian river otter)
Lineage: Eukaryota; Metazoa; Chordata; Mammalia; Carnivora; Mustelidae
Exons: 3
Source: RefSeq, a predicted model, not a curated record
AGAUCAUGGAGUGUUUCUACAUGAGAGUCAUUUCCUCCAUUUUAUAGAUGAUCAACAAGCUUAGAGGUGAUCCGCUGGGAUCCCUGUGAUGAAGAUCUGACCGCUAGAAGCCCUUGCCAGCGGAAGCGGAGUCUACUCUAGCGCGGGAGGUGCCCUCAUCGGUCGCUUUCAGUUGGGGACACAAGGUCUCCCUUCACAGACCACGUGUAUAAGUGACUCCUGAGUCUCCGAGGGCAGUUUUACUGUCACUACUCACCAGUCACUCACCAGCUACCUUCUGAUGGCUUUUGAAGUAUUGUGUCCAGAAGAUCUUCCUUGGAACCACACCUGGCCUCCACCACCUGAAUGCUGCAAUAAUUAAAGGAUGCUCAGUGAUUGGAGAAGACAUCCCAGAGGUGAUUUGUCACCGAGCCUUGUUGGCGGGAGGGGCACACUCAGAUAUGAAAUUAGCCCCAAAUGUCUCUGACUCCUAUUAUACCCUUCUCCCUGAGUUUCAAGUAAUUGGAAAUUCCACCUUUUCUUUUUGCUCCCUUCUCUUCAUACUGACCUAAAAAUAAUUUUU